GCCGGCCUCGCGCAGGGCGGGCAGCGCCAGCGGGUCGCGACCGCCGCGGGCCCGCAGGGCCAGCAGGCCGCCGUUCAGGGCGGUGCGCCGGCUC
This 94-nucleotide transfer RNA is filed under the name Virgisporangium aliadipatigenens. RNAcentral describes it as "tRNA-Ala". The record is from RNAcentral. Lineage: Bacteria; Bacillati; Actinomycetota; Actinomycetes; Micromonosporales; Micromonosporaceae.